This 59-nucleotide transfer RNA is filed under the name Ictidomys tridecemlineatus (thirteen-lined ground squirrel). RNAcentral's name for it is "Spermophilus tridecemlineatus (thirteen-lined ground squirrel) tRNA". It matches the Rfam family "tRNA", at positions 7 to 64 of the family's 71-position model. Rfam says of the family: Transfer RNA (tRNA) molecules are approximately 80 nucleotides in length. Their secondary structure includes four short double-helical elements and three loops (D, anti-codon, and T loops). Lineage: Eukaryota; Metazoa; Chordata; Mammalia; Rodentia; Sciuridae. The record is from Rfam by way of RNAcentral. RNAcentral also lists the same sequence under 1 other name.
GUAGCUCACCGGUAGAACACUUGUCUACCAAGCAGGAGUUCCUGGGUUCAAUCCCCAGC